Molecule: unclassified non-coding RNA, 517 nt
Filed under: Hevea brasiliensis (rubber tree)
Lineage: Eukaryota; Viridiplantae; Streptophyta; Magnoliopsida; Malpighiales; Euphorbiaceae
Source: RNAcentral
AAAAAAAAAAAAAAAAUCCACGAAUCAAAUGGUGAGAUGAAAUUGAAUAAAAGGAUUAAAAGCAGUAACUACUGAUUAGUGAUUACAAAGCUGAUGCAGAGGAAGCCAUUUCUAUUUAGGCUCAGCAAUAGCAUUCCACAAUAAGAGACAAAAGGGCAGCAGCUGCUUCUUCUACUUACUACUCUCUUUCCGUAUAUUUUGUAUUGUUUUCUAUUAAUAACAACUUCACAUGGAGAAUUAAUGGAGAUGGAGUUAUGGCCAGACUAUCAUCGUCUCCCGUCCGUCACCCCCGCCGCUCUCCUCUGCCAAAGCCAACCCACGCUCCUCCUCCUCCACCCCAUUUAACCCCCACGCGCUUCCCUUCCCACCUUGAAACCACUCGCAAAACCCAUCAAUGCCAUCCGCUUUACCAGCAUUCACAAUCCCACCAAUGUCCACACUAGCCAUGACUGACGACUCCCAGUCAGAGAAUGAAGACCCGCAACUCUCCUCAUUGCCGUUGAUGGUGAUAUAAGAA